RNAcentral lists this unclassified non-coding RNA (218 nucleotides) under uncultured Tomentella. Its description in RNAcentral is "partial internal transcribed spacer 2". The record is from RNAcentral. Lineage: Eukaryota; Fungi; Basidiomycota; Agaricomycetes; Thelephorales; Thelephoraceae.
ACACCUCAACUCCCAUGGUUUGCCAUGAUGAGCUUGGACUUUGGGGGUCUUGCUGGCCUAUGGUCAGCUCCUCUUAAACGAAUCAGCUUGCCAGUGUUUGGUGGCAUCGCAGGUGUGAUAACUAUCUACGCUUGUGGUUUUCCAUCAGGUAACCUUCAGUGAUGGAGGUUCGCUGGGGCUCAUAAAGGUCUCUCCUCAGCGAGGACAGCUUUUUGAAC